AAGUGUAACUUAAGCAAAGAGACCUAUAGUUUAAUGCCCCGAAACUACGUGAGCUACUCCAAGACAGCCUAUUAAUAGGGCACACCCGUCUCUGUUGCAAAAGAGUGGGGAGAGCUUUGAGUAGAGGUGACAGACCUACCGAACCUAGUUAUAGCUGGUUGUCCAAGAAAUGAAUAGAAGUUCAGCCUCCCGGCUUCUCUUUUCACAUUAGUUUAACACCUAUUGAUGUAUUUAAGAAACCAUGAGAGUUAGUCAAAGGGGGUACAGCCCCUUUGAACAAAGACACAACUUUAUCAGGAGGGUAAAGAUCAUAAUAAAACAAAGGGAAGUACUCUGGUGG
RNAcentral lists this ribosomal RNA (340 nucleotides) under Gasterosteus aculeatus williamsoni (unarmored threespine stickleback). RNAcentral's name for it is "partial 16S ribosomal RNA". It matches the Rfam family "Bacterial large subunit ribosomal RNA", at positions 679 to 1079 of the family's 2925-position model. The record is from RNAcentral. Lineage: Eukaryota; Metazoa; Chordata; Actinopteri; Perciformes; Gasterosteidae.